Molecule: ribosomal RNA, 486 nt
Filed under: uncultured bacterium
Lineage: Bacteria
Description: partial 16S ribosomal RNA
Rfam family: Bacterial small subunit ribosomal RNA
Source: RNAcentral
ACUGAACGCUGGCGGCAUGCUUUACACAUGCAAGUCGAGCGGCAGCGCGGGGGCAACCCUGGUGGCGAGCGGCGAACGGGUGAGUAAUGCAUCGGAACGUAUCCUCGAGUGGGGGAUAACCCAGCGAACGCUGGCCUAAUACCGCAUGAGCUCUGAGGAGGAAAGCGGGGGACCUGCGAGGGCCUCGCCCUGGCAGAGCGGCCGAUGUCCGAUUAGCUAGUUGGUGGGGUAACGGCAUACCAAGGCGACGCUCGGUAGCUGGUCUGAGAGGAUGAUCAGCCCCACUGGCACUGAGACACGGCCCGGACCCCAACGGGAGGCAGCAGUGGGGAAUUUUGGCCAAUGGGGUCAGCCCUGCUCCAGCCAUGCCGCGUGAGUGAAGAGGGCCUUCGGGUUGUAAAGCUCUUUCGGACGGAACGAAAUGGGCGGGACUAAUACUCCUGUCUGAUGACGGUACCGUAAGAAGAAGCUCGGGCUAACUACGUG